Molecule: ribosomal RNA, 515 nt
Filed under: uncultured bacterium
Lineage: Bacteria
Description: bacterial SSU rRNA
Rfam family: Bacterial small subunit ribosomal RNA
Source: RNAcentral
AGUUUGAUCAUGGCUCAGGACGAACGCUGGCGGCGUGCUUAACACAUGCAAGUCACGGGGGUCCGCAAGGACAACCGGCGAACGGGUGCGUAACACGUGAACAACCUGCCCUCGUGUGGGGGAUAGCCGGGCUAACGCCCGGGUAAUACCGCAUACGUUCUCGUUGGGGAGUCCUGACGAGAGGAAAGCUCCGGCGCACGGGGAGGGGUUCGCGGCCUAUCAGCUUGUUGGCGGGGUAAUGGCCCACCAAGGCGACGACGGGUAGCUGGUCUGAGAGGAUGGCCAGCCACAUUGGGACUGAGAGACGGCCCAGACUCCUACGGGAGGCAGCAGUGGGGAAUCUUGCGCAAUGGUCGAAAGACUGACGCAGCGACGCCGCGUGUGGGAGGACGCCUUUCGGGGUGUAAACCACUGUUGCCCGGGACGAACAGCCUUUUUCGAGAGGUCUGACGGUACCGGGUGAGGAAGCACCGGCUAACUCCGUGCCAGCAGCCGCGGCAGUCGGGCCCAAUCGC